This is a small nucleolar RNA of Hippocampus zosterae (dwarf seahorse), 78 nucleotides long. RefSeq annotates it as small nucleolar RNA SNORD72. Lineage: Eukaryota; Metazoa; Chordata; Actinopteri; Syngnathiformes; Syngnathidae. The record is from RefSeq and is a predicted model, not a curated record. The transcript has a single exon.
GUCUUGUCUAUGAUGUUCUAAAAUGUCUGAACCAAUGAAUACUAUAUGAUUCAAUCAUCCCUCGAACUGAGACAAGAC